CCUACGGGGAGCUGCAGUGGGGAAUAUUGCACAAUGGGGGAAACCCUGAUGCAGCGACGCCGCGUGAGUGAAGAAGUAAUUCGUUACGUAAAGCUCUAUCAGCAGGGAAGAAAAUGACGGUACCUGAGUACGACGCCCCGGCUAACUACGUGCCAGCAGCCGCGGUAAUACGUAGGGGGCAAGCGUUAUCCGGAUUUACUGGGUGUAAAGGGAGCGUAGACGGGAAUGCAAGUCAGAUGUGAAAACUCAGGGCUCAACCCUGAGCCUGCAUUUGAAACUGUGUUUCUUGAGUGCUGGAGAGGCAAUUGGAAGUCCGUGUGUAGCGGUGAAAUGCGUAGAUAUACGGAGGAACACCAGUGGCGAAGGCGGAUUGCUGGACAGUAACUGACGCUGAGGCGCGAAAGCGUGGGGAGCAAACAGGAUUAGAUACCCGGGUAGUC
This 440-nucleotide ribosomal RNA is filed under the name uncultured bacterium. RNAcentral describes it as "partial 16S ribosomal RNA". It matches the Rfam family "Bacterial small subunit ribosomal RNA", at positions 338 to 795 of the family's 1533-position model. The record is from RNAcentral.